Molecule: ribosomal RNA, 381 nt
Filed under: Triticum aestivum (bread wheat)
Lineage: Eukaryota; Viridiplantae; Streptophyta; Magnoliopsida; Poales; Poaceae
Description: partial small subunit ribosomal RNA
Source: RNAcentral
AUGCUAGUGAUGUAUCUGGUCAAGAAUCACGGUGAGCGCGAGGAUGAACGCCUGGUCGACGCCGGGGUUGAUCCUCGCGGUAUACGUGUGCCUCCCGAGGAACGCGCCGCCGGCCGUGUUCUGGCGGCUGAUCCGCGCGACGAUGGUGCCAUCGGAGUCGUCGCCGCCGCCGCCACCUCCAGCAGAGACCGUGCACGCGCCGGCGUAGUAGCUGCCGCCGAUGACGAAGUCCGGGACCCGCUCGCCGGAGCCGUUGCCGGCGAGGAACACGCGCACCUUGGUCCUGGCGAGCUGCACGGGCGCGGUCUUCACCGCGACGAAGAGCAGGUUCCUCCGGCUGGUGCUGUCCCCCCUGUACGCCUCCCACCUCGUGCUCGCUAG